RNAcentral lists this ribosomal RNA (399 nucleotides) under Tridentiger barbatus (Shokihaze gobi). RNAcentral's name for it is "SSU rRNA". It matches the Rfam family "Eukaryotic small subunit ribosomal RNA", at positions 38 to 417 of the family's 1831-position model. The record is from RNAcentral. Lineage: Eukaryota; Metazoa; Chordata; Actinopteri; Gobiiformes; Gobiidae.
CAAAGAUUAAGCCAUGCAAGUCUAAGUACACACGGCCGGUACAGUGAAACUGCGAAUGGCUCAUUAAAUCAGUUAUGGUUCCUUUGAUCGCUCUACCGUUACUUGGAUAACUGUGGCAAUUCUAGAGCUAAUACAUGCAAACGAGCGCUGACCUCCGGGGAUGCGUGCAUUUAUCAGACCCAAAACCCAUGCGGGGUUGCCCCUCGGGGCUCCCCGCUCGCUUUGGUGACUCUAGAUAACCUCGAGCCGAUCGCUGGCCCUCGUGGCGGCGACGUCUCAUUCGAAUGUCUGCCCUAUCAACUUUCGAUGGUACUUUCUGUGCCUACCAUGGUGACCACGGGUAACGGGGAAUCAGGGUUCGAUUCCGGAGAGGGAGCCUGAGAAACGGCUACCACAUCC